Small nuclear RNA from Ictidomys tridecemlineatus (thirteen-lined ground squirrel), 102 nucleotides. Its record names the gene U2. It matches the Rfam family "U2 spliceosomal RNA". Rfam says of the family: U2 is a small nuclear RNA (snRNA) component of the spliceosome (involved in pre-mRNA splicing). The record is from Ensembl. NCBI's taxonomy places the organism in Eukaryota, Metazoa, Chordata, Mammalia, Rodentia, Sciuridae.
AUCGCUUCUCGGCCUUUUGGCUAAGAUCAAGUGUAGUAUCUGUUCUUAUCAGUUUAAAACUUAACAUUUGAACAAUUUUCUCUUAAGUUUUGAGAAACUUUC